CAACGAUGAGGACACCACUUGGAUUGGUUAGAAUGUGUACUCUUCCUCAAGGCGCGACUAACUCAGUUGCGCAUAUGAUGAAUGGGAUGAAUAAGGUAUUGAGAGAUUUUAUUCUGGAAAAGACUAUGCCUUUUUUGGAUGAUGUUCCUAUAAAAGGGUGCAGAGAAGGAGACAAGGAUGAAACUUUAGAUACGAGGGGGUGUCGCAGAUAUGUUGUUGAUCAUAUACAUGAUUGUGAAAAGAUUUUAACUCGGCUUGGAGAAGUUCAUCUUACAUUAUCGGGUAUGAAGUCCGUAUUUGGAGUACGAGAGGUUGUAAUUGUUGGACAUUUAUGUGG
RNAcentral lists this long non-coding RNA (337 nucleotides) under Physcomitrium patens. Its description in RNAcentral is "long non-coding RNA (PPAT_LNC013629)". Lineage: Eukaryota; Viridiplantae; Streptophyta; Bryopsida; Funariales; Funariaceae. The record is from RNAcentral.